This 512-nucleotide ribosomal RNA is filed under the name uncultured bacterium. RNAcentral describes it as "partial 16S ribosomal RNA". It matches the Rfam family "Bacterial small subunit ribosomal RNA", at positions 28 to 507 of the family's 1533-position model. The record is from RNAcentral.
GACGAACGCUGGCGGCGUGCCUAAUACAUGCAAGUCGAGCGAGCGAAACUAAAGGAUGUUCUUCGGUAGUGACGGUAGGACAGGGAGCGGCGGAGGGGAGAGCAACACGUGGGGAACCGGCCCCAUAGUCUGGGAUACCACUUGGAAACAGGUACAAAUACCGGAUCAGAAAGCAGAUCGCAUGAUCAGCUUUGAAAAGACGGCGUAAGCUGUCGCCAUGGGAUGGCCCCGCGGUGCAUUAGCUAGUUGGUAAGGUAAAGGCUUACCAAGGCGAUGAUGCAUAGCCGAGUUGAGAGGCUGAUCGGCCACACUGGAACUGAGACACGGCCCAGACUCCUACGGGAGGCAGCAGUAGGGAAUCUUCCGCAAUGGGCGCAAGUCUGAUGGAGCAACGCCGCGUGAGUGAAGAAGGUCUUCGGAUCGUAAAGCUCUGUUGUUAGUGAAGAAGGUUUGUGGUAGUAACUGGGCUUUUUUUGACGGUAACCAACCAGAAAGUCACGGCUAACUACGUG